This 504-nucleotide ribosomal RNA is filed under the name Bacillus sp. (in: firmicutes). RNAcentral describes it as "bacterial SSU rRNA". It matches the Rfam family "Bacterial small subunit ribosomal RNA", at positions 411 to 906 of the family's 1533-position model. Lineage: Bacteria; Bacillati; Bacillota; Bacilli; Caryophanales; Bacillaceae. The record is from RNAcentral.
AAGGCUUUCGGGUCGUAAAACUCUGUUGUUAGGGAAGAACAAGUACAAGAGUAACUGCUUGUACCUUGACGGUACCUAACCAGAAAGCCACGGCUAACUACGUGCCAGCAGCCGCGGUAAUACGUAGGUGGCAAGCGUUAUCCGGAAUUAUUGGGCGUAAAGCGCGCGCAGGCGGUUUCUUAAGUCUGAUGUGAAAGCCCACGGCUCAACCGUGGAGGGUCAUUGGAAACUGGGGAACUUGAGUGCAGAAGAGAAAAGCGGAAUUCCACGUGUAGCGGUGAAAUGCGUAGAGAUGUGGAGGAACACCAGUGGCGAAGGCGGCUUUUUGGUCUGUAACUGACGCUGAGGCGCGAAAGCGUGGGGAGCAAACAGGAUUAGAUACCCUGGUAGUCCACGCCGUAAACGAUGAGUGCUAAGUGUUAGAGGGUUUCCGCCCUUUAGUGCUGCAGCUAACGCAUUAAGCACUCCGCCUGGGGAGUACGGUCGCAAGACUGAAACUCAAAG